This is a long non-coding RNA of Pezoporus occidentalis (night parrot), 571 nucleotides long. RefSeq lists it as uncharacterized. The record is from RefSeq and is a predicted model, not a curated record. NCBI's taxonomy places the organism in Eukaryota, Metazoa, Chordata, Aves, Psittaciformes, Psittacidae. The transcript is spliced from 2 exons.
AAAGACCUAUUUUAUUUGGUCUUUCAUUUAGACUCUUCUCUUUUGGGUGGACCUGGGACCUGUGCUUGAGCUAGCUUGUCUGAUAGAUGGACUUUGGACCAACAGUGUAGUUUGUAUCCAGCCCUAUUUCCUCUAGCUCCUGAUCAGAUUCUCUGGAUGAUCCCUGUGCCUGAUUCGUCUCCCACCAUGUCUGGGAUGACUGAUGGACCUUGUCAUAAGCACGCAGCUCUGCCUGCCAUGUUCAGAUGUUGUGGGGUUGUGUGCUGGUUGGUGAGGGCACUGCCUGUGCUGGGCUUGCCUGGGGCUCACCCCUCCUUGGAGCAGCUAGCCCUCUGCACUUUGACAUGUCUAACUGGCCCGUGAUCUGGAACACCUGCUGUUGAAAACAGACCAUGACAUCCAGUGCCCGCCUUUCUUCCUAUAUGUGUUGCAUCGAUAAAGCUGUUACAAGAAGUGGAGUAGACUCUUCUGUGUACUUUGAUAAGUAAUGCACUGUGGCAGGUGUCAAAUUAUUUCUGUUAUAACUAAAGCUUUUAUUUUCUUGCUCUGUAACUAUGGGUAAGUCAUCUCA